RNAcentral lists this ribosomal RNA (468 nucleotides) under uncultured bacterium. RNAcentral's name for it is "partial 16S ribosomal RNA". It matches the Rfam family "Bacterial small subunit ribosomal RNA", at positions 28 to 507 of the family's 1533-position model. The record is from RNAcentral.
GACGAACGCUGGCGGCGUGCUUAACACAUGCAAGUCGAACGGAAAGGCCCUGCUUUUGUGGGGUGCUCGAGUGGCGAACGGGUGAGUAACACGUGAGUAACCUGCCCUUGACUUUGGGAUAACUUCAGGAAACUGGGGCUAAUACCGGAUAGGAGCUCCUGCUGCAUGGGGGGGGUUGGAAAGUUUCGGCGGUUGGGGAUGGACUCGCGGCUUAUCAGCUUGUUGGUGGGGUAGUGGCUUACCAAGGCUUUGACGGGUAGCCGGCCUGAGAGGGUGACCGGCCACAUUGGGACUGAGAUACGGCCCAGACUCCUACGGGAGGCAGCAGUGGGGAACAUUGCACAAUGGGCGGAAGCCUGAUGCAGCAACGCCGCGUGCGGGAUGACGGCCUUCGGGUUGUAAACCGCUUUCGCCUGUGACGAAGCGUGAGUGACGGUAAUGGGUAAAGAAGCACCGGCUAACUACGUG